GGAAGCCCAGCACCGAACCUCGCACCCCCGGGUGUCGCGGAAUGUGGUGYUCAGAGAGGACCGUGCGCGUCUGUCCGGUAUCGUCCAAGUCUCCAUGAAUGGGGCCAGCAACCCAGAGAGGGUGUCAGGCCCGUGGGACGAGCCGCGACCGUGUAUUGGGUCUCUCCUUAGAGUCGGGUUGCUUGAGAGUGCAGCCCUAAGCGGGAGGUAAACUCCUUCUAAGGCUAAAUACGGCCACGAGACCGAUAGCGAACAAGUACCGCGAGGGAAAGUUGAAAAGAACUUUGAAGAGAGAGUUCAAUAGUGCGUGAAACCGUUCAGGGGGUUAAACGGGUGGGCCCUCGAAGGUCGAACGCCCCCUACUCCUGUUCCUGUAGCGCUGGCACGUGCUGCUUUUCGAUCUCGCUACGAGACGGAGCUUGGUGCGGUAUGCCGGACUGCAGGGGCCGCUAGUUAGGGGGCCAGUAGGACUCCGCAACCGGCUGGGUUUUAAGUCGUCAGAAGGGUUCUGGAGGAAGCCUCCUCUGGGGGUGAAAUCCGGGAUUCCGGGCGAUCUUCCCGGCCGUGAACCAGAAUUCCCCCGUCUGGCGUCUGGGACGAGUUCUGGCAACAGGACUGUCGGUUCUGGGCGUCACCGUGGNGGACACCGCGGAGAGUAGAGUCGGGUCCCACCCGACCCGUCU
This 683-nucleotide ribosomal RNA is filed under the name Cyzicus mexicanus. Its description in RNAcentral is "partial large subunit ribosomal RNA". The record is from RNAcentral. Lineage: Eukaryota; Metazoa; Arthropoda; Branchiopoda; Diplostraca; Cyzicidae.